GCCAGCACCGGAGCUGGGAGAACAACAAACGGGGAACAUUUUAAUUUGUGUGGCCUUUGAGGCUGCUGCAGCUCGUUUUUUUUGCAUGUGUGUGUCUAGUUGCGAAGGGAAGGAAAGGGGGUCUGACUAAGAUUUCAGAGCUGUGCAAACCUACAGCUGAGCUAAGGGAUUAAUCCCAGCCUUGAAUUUAAAGAAGAGAAAGAAACGAAGGAAAUGGUUUGAGUUUGAGCCUAAACUUGGCCCUCAUUGGGGGAAAAACAUGUUACUGUCUUGCAAGCGACGUUAAUGUUGUGCUGUGAUGCCAGCAGAUUCCAGACUGCAUUUGCCGAUCGCCCAUCAUCUUAAACCAUCAAUUUCACAGCUCCCCACUCCUUUACUGCACAUCGGCGGAAAAUCCAUUUCACCUUGAGAGUGAAAUCAUGCUGGCCUUUGAUUGGGAGAACAUCCACGCCAUAGAGGACGUCCCCAUGGGACUUGGGGCUCUGCUAAGGCUGUAUUUUUUGUUUUCAGUCAAAUUUCCCCAAAAUGUCAAAAAUACUUAUGUUCUUGUCACGUCCUGACCGUAGUUUCUUUUUUAUGUCUCUAUUUAUUUUAGUUUGGUCAGGGCGUGAGUUGGGGUGGGCAUUCUAUGUUUUUGUUUCAUGUGUUAUAAUUCUAUGUGUUUGGCCUGGUAUGGUUCCCAAUCAGAGGCAGCUGUCAAUCGUUGUCUCUGAUUGAGAACCAUACGUAGGCAGCCUGUUUUCCCACUAUGGUUUGUGGGUAGGUGUUUUCUGUGUUUUCACCAGUUGUAAUAAAUUUAACAUGGACACGUACCAUGCUGCAUUUUGGUCCGAUCUAUCCUACUCCUCAUCAGACGAAGAAGAAGUUCGUUACAGUUCUGGGGAUAAGAGAAGUUGGGGUGAAGUUACCAGGGCCGGUCAUAAAGAUGGCAAACUUCCUAACAUAAUUAAGUGGUUGUUGGGCACACACACACACUAAAGCAAAAAUAAUCUGUAUUUAGCAUCAAGUCUACAAUAUUGUUAGUUUACCUAUGAUUCAUUUUUAAUGUGUUGUUUUUUUGUACAUAAUUAUUUUAUGAUAUAAUGAAAAGUUCUAUACAAAGUAAAUGUAUUUAUUAUGGUCUGACAUGUCUGCAGAAAUGUUGCAAGUUUGGCAAAU
Molecule: long non-coding RNA, 1158 nt
Organism: Oncorhynchus keta (chum salmon)
Lineage: Eukaryota; Metazoa; Chordata; Actinopteri; Salmoniformes; Salmonidae
Exons: 4
Source: RefSeq, a predicted model, not a curated record